This is a non-coding RNA of Acanthosepion pharaonis, 110 nucleotides long. The record is from the annotation of a GenBank genome assembly. Lineage: Eukaryota; Metazoa; Mollusca; Cephalopoda; Sepiida; Sepiidae.
UAUGGCCACAUCACAUUGAAACACAGGUUCCUGUAUGAUCACUGAAGUUAAGCAACAUUGAGCCUGGUUAGUACCUAGAUGAAUGACCACUUGGUGAUACCAGGUAGUGU